GCUAUCCUCUUCUGGCCAAAAGUUUAUGCACAUAUUCCCAUCCACAUAAAAAAAUCUCAUUAAAAUUAAUAUUUUAUUUUGGUCAGAUCUGUUGUAAUGCUGUUCUGAUCAAAUGUUUGGCAGUCAACUACAAUUUAAAGACUGAUUUUAAUCCAUACCAAACUUAUUGGCAAACUGAUGUGUUGAAAAGCCCUGUGGGACUUAGAUUUAUUGUAGAAUUACAUUUUA
This 228-nucleotide unclassified non-coding RNA is filed under the name Hevea brasiliensis (rubber tree). Lineage: Eukaryota; Viridiplantae; Streptophyta; Magnoliopsida; Malpighiales; Euphorbiaceae. The record is from RNAcentral.